RNAcentral lists this ribosomal RNA (253 nucleotides) under uncultured bacterium. RNAcentral's name for it is "partial 16S ribosomal RNA". It matches the Rfam family "Bacterial small subunit ribosomal RNA", at positions 524 to 776 of the family's 1533-position model. The record is from RNAcentral.
UACCGAGGGGGCAAGCGUUGUUCGGAAUUACUGGGCGUAAAGGGCGCGUAGGCGGCCUGCUAAGUCGAACGUGAAAUCCCUGGGCUCAACCCAGGAACUGCGUCCGAUACUGGUUGGCUUGAAUCCGGGAGAGGGAUGUGGAAUUCCAGGUGUAGCGGUGAAAUGCGUAGAUAUCUGGAGGAACACCGGUGGCGAAGGCGACAUCCUGGACCGGUAUUGACGCUGAGGCGCGAAAGCCAGGGGAGCAAACGGG